AUACGGAGGAUCCGAGCGUUAUCCGGAUUUAUUGGGUUUAAAGGGAGCGUAGGUGGACAUGUAAGUCAGUUGUGAAAGUUUGCGGCUCAACCGUAAAAUUGCAGUUGAUACUGUGUGUCUUGAGUACAGUAGAGGUGGGCGGAUUUCGUGGUGUAGCGGUGAAAUGCUUAGAUAUCACGAAGAACUCCGAUUGCGAAGGCAGCUCACUGGACUGUUACUGACACUGAGGCUCGAAAGUGUGGGUAUCAAACAGGAUUAGAUACCCUGGUAGUCCACACAGUAAACGAUGAAUACUCGCUGUUUGCGAUAUACAGCAAGCGGCCAAGCGAAAGCAUUAAGUAUUCCACCUGGGGAGUACGCCGGCAACGGUGAAACUCAAAUGAAUUGACGGGG
RNAcentral lists this ribosomal RNA (393 nucleotides) under uncultured bacterium. RNAcentral describes it as "partial 16S ribosomal RNA". It matches the Rfam family "Bacterial small subunit ribosomal RNA", at positions 523 to 918 of the family's 1533-position model. The record is from RNAcentral.